This 337-nucleotide unclassified non-coding RNA is filed under the name soil metagenome. RNAcentral describes it as "partial contains 5.8S ribosomal RNA, internal transcribed spacer 2, and large subunit ribosomal RNA". The stretch from base 1 to 120 matches the Rfam family "5.8S ribosomal RNA", at positions 35 to 154 of the family's 154-position model. The record is from RNAcentral.
GAUGAAGAACGUAACGAAAUGCGAUAAGUAAUGUGAAUUGCAGAAUUCAGUGAAUCAUCGAAUCUUUGAACGCACAUUGCGCCCCUUGGUAUUCCGAGGGGCAUGCCUGUUCGAGCGUCAUUACACCACUCAAGCUAUGCUUGGUAUUGGGCGUCGUCCUUAGUUGGGCGCGCCUUAAAGACCUCGGCGAGGCCACUCCGGCUUUAGGCGUAGUAGAAUUUAUUCGAACGUCUGUCAAAGGAGAGGAACUCUGCCGACUGAAACCUUUAUUUUUCUAGGUUGACCUCGGAUCAGGUAGGGAUACCCGCUGAACUUAAGCAUAUCAAUAAGCGGAGGA